RNAcentral lists this long non-coding RNA (1668 nucleotides) under Piliocolobus tephrosceles (Ugandan red Colobus). Its description in RNAcentral is "lncRNA (ENSPTEG00000011073.1)". Lineage: Eukaryota; Metazoa; Chordata; Mammalia; Primates; Cercopithecidae. The record is from RNAcentral.
UUUUCCUUCUUCUACUUCUCCCCCUUCCUCUCCUUCUUUUUUUUCUUCAUUUUCUUGUUCUUUUUUUUUUUUUUUUUUUAAUACAUCAUCAUUACUUUUUUCAUAUAUUACUGUAACUUCUUCAUUUUUAACAAUCGGUUCUACAUUUUGCAAUUCAUUAUUUUCAUGUACAAAAAUAUUUUCAGUUGCUAAUUUAUGUUUACUAUCUUCUAUUAAUUCAUUUAACUUAUUUACAUUGUUAUUUAUAAAUGUAUGUUUUUCCUGUUCACAAAAUUCAAUACUAUUAAUGUCCUUUGAAUUAUCAAUAACAUUAUCUUUCAAUAUUUUAUUGCUAUAUUCUUUAUUGUACACAUCAGAAUGUGCAUCAUCAACUGAAGCCAUUAAAUCACCCUUCAGGUCAUCAAUAUAUUUAUCACCUUUUUCAUCAAUAUAUUUAUCACCUUUUUCAUCAAUAUAUUUAUCACCUUUUUCAUCAAUAUAUUUAUCACCUUUUUCAUCCAUAUAUUUAUCACCUUUUUCAUCAAUAUAUUUAUCACCUUUUUCAUCAAUAUAUUUAUCACCUUUUUCAUCAAUAUAUUUAUCACCUUUUUCAUCAAUAUAUUUAUCACCUUUUUCAUCAAUAUAUUUAUCACCUUUUUCAUCAAUAUAUUUAUCACAUUUUUCAUCAAUACAUUUAUCACCUUUUUCAUCAAUAUAUUUAUCACCUUUUUCAUCAAUAUAUUUAUCACCUUUUUCAUCAAUACAUUUAUCACCUUUUUCAUCAAUAUAUUUAUCACCUUUUCCAUCAAUACAUUUAUCACCUUUUUCAUCAAUAUAUUUAUCACCUUUUNNNNNNNNNNGCUUCUCCUACUUUUCUUUCUUUUCCUUCUUCUACUUCUCCCCCUUCCUCUCCUUCUUUUUUUUCUUCAUUUUCUUGUUCUUUUUUUUUUUUUUUUUUUAAUACAUCAUCAUUACUUUUUUCAUAUAUUACUGUAACUUCUUCAUUUUUAACAAUCGGUUCUACAUUUUGCAAUUCAUUAUUUUCAUGUACAAAAAUAUUUUCAGUUGCUAAUUUAUGUUUACUAUCUUCUAUUAAUUCAUUUAACUUAUUUACAUUGUUAUUUAUAAAUGUAUGUUUUUCCUGUUCACAAAAUUCAAUACUAUUAAUGUCCUUUGAAUUAUCAAUAACAUUAUCUUUCAAUAUUUUAUUGCUAUAUUCUUUAUUGUACACAUCAGAAUGUGCAUCAUCAACUGAAGCCAUUAAAUCACCCUUCAGGUCAUCAAUAUAUUUAUCACCUUUUUCAUCAAUAUAUUUAUCACCUUUUUCAUCAAUAUAUUUAUCACCUUUUUCAUCAAUAUAUUUAUCACCUUUUUCAUCCAUAUAUUUAUCACCUUUUUCAUCAAUAUAUUUAUCACCUUUUUCAUCAAUAUAUUUAUCACCUUUUUCAUCAAUAUAUUUAUCACCUUUUUCAUCAAUAUAUUUAUCACCUUUUUCAUCAAUAUAUUUAUCACCUUUUUCAUCAAUAUAUUUAUCACAUUUUUCAUCAAUACAUUUAUCACCUUUUUCAUCAAUAUAUUUAUCACCUUUUUCAUCAAUAUAUUUAUCACCUUUUUCAUCAAUACAUUUAUCACCUUUUUCAUCAAUAUAUUUAUCACCUUUUCCAUCAAUACAUUUAUCACCUUUUUCAU